Molecule: ribosomal RNA, 978 nt
Filed under: uncultured bacterium
Lineage: Bacteria
Description: bacterial SSU rRNA
Rfam family: Bacterial small subunit ribosomal RNA
Source: RNAcentral
AGAGUUUGAUCCUGGCUCAGGACGAACGCUGGCGGCGUGCCUAACACAUGCAAGUCGAGCGGACUAGAGGUCAGAAGUCAGAGGUUGGAGUGCCGGAGGAGUGGAAGGAAAUUGCGAAGCAAUUUCCACCUUGUAUCUGGCACACUGGCUUCCGACUUCUGACCUCAAGUUAGCGGCGAACGGGUGAGUAACGCGUGGGUGACCUGCCUGGGAGACCGGGAUAACAGCCCGAAAGGGCUGCUAAUACCGGAUGACAUCAUCAGGUUGCGGCCUGGUGAUUAAAGCGUCAUGUAGCGCUUCCAGAUGGGCCCGCGUCCCAUUAGCUAGUUGGUAGGGUAAUGGCCUACCAAGGCGACGAUGGGUAGCCGGUCUGAGAGGAUGGUCGGCCACACUGGGACUGAGACACGGCCCAGACUCCUACGGGAGGCAGCAGUGGGGAAUUUUGCGCAAUGGGGGCAACCCUGACGCAGCGACGCCGCGUGGGUGACGAAGGCCUUCGGGUUGUAAAGCCCUGUCUGGGGGGAAGAUAGUGACGGUACCCCCGGAGGAAGCCCCGGCUAACUACGUGCCAGCAGCCGCGGUAAUACGUAGGGGGCGAGCGUUGUCCGGAAUUACUGGGCGUAAAGGGCGUGUAGGCGGCCUGGCAAGUCGGCUGUGAAAUCCCCCGGCUUAACCGGGGAGUGGCAGUCGAAACUGUUGGGCUUGAGUGCAGGAGAGGAGGGUGGAAUUCCUGGUGUAGCGGUGAAAUGCGUAGAUAUCAGGAGGAACACCGGUGGCGAAGGCGACCUUCUGGCCUGUUACUGACGCUGAGGCGCGAAAGCCAGGGGAGCAAACAGGAUUAGAUACCCUGGUAGUCCUGGCUGUAAACGCUGGGUACGAGGUGUAGGGGGUUUAGAUACCUUCUGUGCCGCAGUUAACGCAUUAAGUACCCCGCCUGGGGAGUACGGUCGCAAGGCUGAAACUCAAAUGAAUUGACGG